Molecule: ribosomal RNA, 499 nt
Filed under: uncultured bacterium
Lineage: Bacteria
Description: bacterial SSU rRNA
Rfam family: Bacterial small subunit ribosomal RNA
Source: RNAcentral
GAUGAACGCUAGCGGCAGGCCUAAUACAUGCAAGACGAACGGUAAGUUGAGUAGCAAUACUUAGCCAAGAGUGUCGUACGGGUGCGUAACACGUAUGCAACCUACCCUAUACAGGAGGAUAGCCUAGGGAAACCUGGAUUAACCCUUCAUAGUAUUAUUGGAUGGCAUCAUUUGAUAAUUAAAACUGAGGUGGUAUAGGAUGGGCAUGCGUCUGAUUAGUUAGUUGGCGGGGUAAUGGCCCACCAAGACGAUGAUCAGUAGGGGUUCUGAGAGGAAGAUCCCCCACACUGGCACUGAGAUACGGGCCAGACUCCUACGGGAGGCAGCAGUAGGGAAUAUUGGUCAAUGGAUGCAAGUCUGAACCAGCCAUGCCGCGUGCAGGAAGAAGGCCUUCUGGGUUGUAAACUGCUUUUGCCAGGGGAUAAAAUUUCCAUGCGUGGAAAACUGAAGGUACCUGGUGAAUAAGCCACGGCUAACUACGUGCCAGCAGCCGCGGUAA